CCUGACUCUGCCAUUGUACUGAGCAGCCAGCGUCGAGGACCGCUGUGAGGACAGGCAGGGAUUUUGUUGUGCAGGUGCUCGUGUCAACCGUGGCUCUCUGCUUGCUGUUCUGAACAGGAGUGCCGAUGGAGACUGGCCUGCUCUGGGAUGUAUCCACUUGGAUUUUCUCUGUGGAGAACUCCAGAUGAAGAAAAGAAGAGAUUUUGAGCAAAUUGUAAGAAAAGUCGUGGCUACUGAAAUGCCUCAGAAGGAGGUGACACAUAGGAAAAACAGAUUCUCUAUCUCUCAGAUGACAUCUCAAUCUCACUGCUGUCACCACUUGGAAAGAAUUUUGAGUGAAAGAAGUAAAAUGCUUUUCUAGUAGAAAUCCCUUGUCUGAAGGUCACAGAAGCCUACAUAUGGAUUGGCUGCGGGAAUUCUGAUACCCUCCCAGAUAUUUUUAAAGAAUCCAGAAGAGUCCAGGAUUAAAGGGAAGAGCAAGGUAAGGCUUGCUCUGUCCCAUCACCUUUUGUACCCAAUUCCUGCUCUGGAAUAAAUCACUGGCCUCUCCUUUCUCUUUAGCCUCCCACAGCUGCUGUCCCUCUCCCCAUGUGUGGACAUACCCUUCCUUCCUCAUUCAGCCAGUAGCAUGAGCCCAAUGCGAUUGAGUGUAAGAGACUUAGUGGUAUUUGGGGUGAAAUGGAGGGUACUACAUUGUAGCACAAAAUAACAUAGAACCUGAAACCAUGUUUUCAGCCUUCUGGCCAAAGAAAAGUUUUCAGAAAAUAUCUUCGCCCUGAGGCUGCCUGCUCUUGCCAGGGGUUGGGGCCACUUUCACCAUGGCUCUAAAACUUUCCUCUUUUGUUUUCCAUUUCAGGAUUCCCAUUCUCUUCCAAAGCAUCAAAGAGAAUAUAACCAGAAUUUUUUUUUGCUGGGAGAAGAUUGUCACUGAGCUAACAUCCAUUCUGGUUUUCUCUGAGGACCAUUGUAAAAAUUCAUUCUCUUGGGUACUAUCUCAAGCCUAAUAAGAAGAAUUUAGGGAGGGAGGUAGGUUGAGUUCAGAGCCCAUGAUUCUGAAAUUCAAAGACUCUUCUUGUGUUAUACUUAGGUAGCUGGUCUCAGGACAGGCCAUUAGGAGCUGCUGCCAGAGAGCACAAUCCUCCGCUAAGAUAAAAAGACAAUGGGGAAGAUCCGUCUCUUAGGAAACCAGCUUGCUACCUCCAGGGACAGUACCCAGGAAGAAGGAGACCUGCCACAGCAUGGCUUGACAAGCUGUGUGUAGGUCCACACCCGGGAUCCGAACCAGCGAACCCUGGGCCACCAAAGCGGAAUGUGUGAACUUAACCACUGAGCCACCAGUCCUCGUCCUGCUCAACUCCCCCUGACUUUUGAGCUCACCACCUCUACACUGCUUUUGGUGGAGCCACCAAAAAUGUGAGUUGCCAAAUUUACUAGCAUUUUCAAACAUUUUGCUCCUUUGUUGGCAGUAUUUCACACUGUUAACCGCUCACUCCUUUCUUGAAACUCUUUUCUUCCUAAAGUUUGGUGACUGUGUUCUCCCUAUUAAGUGCUGACCUCUUUGGCUUCAUUUUAUCUGAUAUAAUUAUAACAGAUAAUAAUAUUUGUAGCGGUAUUUAUAAAGUGCUUCCUAUGUUCUAGGUACAUGUCUCUCAUUUAAAUUUCACAGCUGCUCUGUGAGGUAGUUCUUCUUAUUAUUAGCACUAUUUAGCAGAGGAGAAGUCUGGGCCUCUGAAGGGUUUAGUGAAUUGGAUCAAGGGACACAGUCACUAACGUGUGGAGCCAGGAUAAAAGCUGAGGGCUCUCAGGCUCUCGUCACCUGCUGGCUGGCAUCCCUGUGCCUAUCCAUCUCCUUUGCUCUCUUCUCUUCUCCCUCUGCACCUUCCCUGAAUAAUUCCACUCAACGUCACACUUUCAUCUACCUCUUAAACACUGAGGACUUCUAUAUCUCUCUUGGACUCUAGACCUCGUGCCCAGCUGCCUAGAUGGACAUUGUCACCUGGACGUCCCCAGUGGCCUUCACACUGAACAUGCCCCACACUGUUCCCUGUCAGCCUCCUUGUCACCUUUGGUGCCGUCAUCUUUCAUGCAAUUGUUCCACUAGAAACUGGGAGGAGUUCUUAGAGUCCUCCCUCUCGUGACUUGCUCGUAUCCAAGCCAAGACGUCUAGAAGAAUCUUCCUAAAUAUCUCUCUCAUUCAUCACAUCCAUUCCCUCUGCUCUCACAGCCUUGACUUGAAUACAACUUCUCGGCUUCCCUCAUUUACCCCGUUCAGGACUCCCCUUACCUGUUUUCCUGCUCUUUAGCCCGAGGACCUCUGUCUAAUCUGCACUUUGUGUUCUUUCCAACAUUAAGUCUGAUUAUAUUACACUGAAUUCUUCAGGUUCAUCACAGCAUGACAGGAGUUUCCUUUUUUCUUUUUUUUUAAAGUAAGAGGAUCCUGUUUGCAUUGAAAACUUAUGAGAAACUCUGAUAAAUACGACAGAUAAAAGUUGGAGAACAAUUCGCUGAGACUUGUCUGCUUGGCCUCCACUUCUUCCCUGAAAGGGCUUCAUUCACUCACUCAUCUGUGUGCGAGCACUGUUCUAGGCCCUGGGAAUAAACCAGGGAGCAAAGAUCAACCUAAGUCCUGCCUUCAGAGGGCUUACAUUCUAGUCAUGGUAGACAUACAAGGAGAUAGUGAGAAAACUAAUAAAUAAGGGAAUGUGUAAUAUGUUGGAUGGCAUGAAGAAAAAAUAAGCUUGAUGAGAGAUUAGGAAAACCUGAGGUGGGGGUGGGUUUGCUACUUAUAAUAAGGCAGCCAAGAACAGCUUCUCUAAUAGCUUGAUAUUUGGUCAGAGACUUAAAGGAGGUGACACAGGAGGUCUUGGGUGUGUUACCAAAUAGCCCUCCAGGCCUAGGGAAUGGAAUGCCAAAGCUCUGAGGUCUCAAAACCAGAGGCCAGCGUGGCUGGAGAUGUGUGGGUGAGGGGACAGGGUAGGGCGUGAGGCCACAGAGACCUGGAGGCAGAAGGUCAGGUCACAUGAGGCAUGGAAGACCAUUGUGCCGACUUGAUCAACCUGUCCUCUGAGUGAAGCAGGGAGCCUCUGAGAGUUUUGAGCAGAAGAUCAACGUAAUGUAAUUUGGGUUUUGAAAGUAAAAUGGGUGUAUUGGUGGUAGGCCAUGAGGGGGCAAAGGUGGAAGCAGAGAUCAUCCAGAAGGCUAUUCCCGAGCACCAGGUGAGAGACGGUGGUACCCUGACCAGGAGAGGAAGGGCUGAGAGGCGGUCAGACGUAGGACAGGUUCUCAAGGUCAAGCUGACAGAGGUUUCUAAUGGAAUUGUGGUGCAGAUCCAGAGCGCUGUCUGAAAACUGCAGGUCCAGGAGAUAAACUCUUAGAGGCCUUUACAAAGCCUCGAGACUCCCCCCGACCAGGGCCUCACCACAUGCCCAGACUCGGCAGCUUUCACCACCUCCAUGCUACCUGUGCCAGUGAUGCUUGUUAAUUUGGAGCCCGCCACCCUCUCUCCAGCCUCCUGCCUUUGCAUGCGCUGUUUCUUCUUCCUCCAUCUGGACCACUUUGCAAACAACCUUUAAAUCUCAGUUCAAAUGCCACUCCCUCUUUGGGAUCUUUCCUUCCUCCCCAGGUCUGUUUCGAUGCUUCUUGCUCUAUGCUUCAAUUUUCGUUCAUAAUCCCACCAAAGCAACCACUUGGUGUAUUGUGACUAAUUGCCGCUUUCUCCCCUAGGUCGUUCAACUUCUUGAAUGUCUAGACUGAGCCUUUUCAUUUGGUUUCCUCAGGACUUACCAUGAUGCCGGCAUGUAAUGGGUGUUUUAUAAGCAUUUGUUGAAUAAUAAAUAAAUGUUUUAGCUUCAAAACUCAUUUCACAGUGUGAGUGGUGCUCAGUGUGUCUAACUUUGGUAAUAAGAGCCACGGGUCCGGAUUCUUCCCUACGUUGUUCCGCGGUGUGAGGGGAAUUUUGGAACGACACUCCAAUGGGAC
Long non-coding RNA from Equus caballus (horse), 3978 nucleotides. The record is from Ensembl. NCBI's taxonomy places the organism in Eukaryota, Metazoa, Chordata, Mammalia, Perissodactyla, Equidae.